UUCAUUUUUUUUAAUGUAAAUGUUUUUAAGUAUUUGUAGGAUAAAGGCAAAUUACACUUAUUCAUUCUUUCUUUGAUAUAAUACAUGUAGCUCUUUACCUGAAAUCAAUGUUUGUCAAAUUAUUGUGCAUAAAUUAGAAGUAUGCAUGUUUCUCUUAAGUCAGUUAUGUUUCAGGAACUAUCUUUAAUGAAUUGUAUAGAAAAUUGUGGACGAGGUGUUAGGUGUACAGGAACGUGGUAUAUUAUAAACAUGUAUAGUAUCUCAUAGUAUAUAAACUCAUAACUUUGAUUAUGCAGUAUGCUUUGUAUAUUAUUUCUGAAAGCAUGUAUAUUUCAAUCAAGAUUGUUGAGUAAACUUUUCUUGCUUUAUGCUAUCUCUGAAAGCAUGUAUAUUUCAGUCAAGAUUGUUGAGUAAAUUGUGCUUAUUUUAUGCUUUUUUCUUUUUUACAUUAGAAAAUUCCACACCUUUAUCACGAGGAAAUCUGCAAUGGCAUUUAGGAAUGACAAAUAGAAGCUCAACUAUUCGAAGCAGGAGACCGAAGAGAAAAAAGGAAGAGAGAUGAUAUUACAGCUGCAGAAAAGGAAAUAAUUGAAACGCAGAAGAAUAUAUUAAUGUACUGUGUGAAAUAUGUGACUUGUAUAAGCAAUCAGUUGCAAAUCAGUCUGCUGUCAUAGAAAAUCAAAAUAUAAUUAUUAAUUUAUUAAAAAAAUAAAUCAUGCAUUUCAAAUAUUA
Molecule: long non-coding RNA, 732 nt
Organism: Stegodyphus dumicola
Lineage: Eukaryota; Metazoa; Arthropoda; Arachnida; Araneae; Eresidae
Source: RefSeq, a predicted model, not a curated record